This 273-nucleotide ribosomal RNA is filed under the name uncultured bacterium. RNAcentral describes it as "partial 16S ribosomal RNA". It matches the Rfam family "Bacterial small subunit ribosomal RNA", at positions 524 to 796 of the family's 1533-position model. The record is from RNAcentral.
UACGGAGGGUGCAAGCGUUGCUCGGAAUCACUGGGCGUAAAGCGCACGCAGGCGGCUAUUCAAGUCGGAUGUGAAAGCCCCGGGCUCAACCCGGGAACUGCAUUCGAAACUGGAUGGCUUGAGUUCGAGAGAGGGUGGUGGAAUUCCUGGUGUAGAGGUGAAAUUCGUUGAUAUCAGGAGGAACAUCGGCGGCGAAGGCGGCCACCUGGCUCGAUACUGACGCUCAUGUGCGAAAGCGUGGGGAGCAAACAGGAUUAGAUACCCGCGUAGUCC